This 585-nucleotide long non-coding RNA is filed under the name Hordeum vulgare. RNAcentral describes it as "long non-coding RNA (HVUL_LNC005279)". Lineage: Eukaryota; Viridiplantae; Streptophyta; Magnoliopsida; Poales; Poaceae. The record is from RNAcentral.
GAUGAAGUGUUUGUUCUCUUAUACACUAGUAUAAAUGGAUCCAUUAUGUGAUUCUAUCAAUGCAUGCAUAUGUUUUCUCUUAUCACCAUCAGAUGCAUACUCUUCUAGACGACAUGACGAUGCUGAAUACAAGUAAAUACUUGAAGAUUAGCACAAAAGUUACAGAUCAAUCCAAUAAAAUCUAUAUCAAAUAACCCUAAAAUUUGUCAAGUAUCAUGGCAAAACCAGUACCUUCUCUGAAAUCGGUAUCACGCUUCUCAACGUUGCGGUGUGGAAAUUAACGAUUGCGCAAGUCCGUCUUUCUAGCCAGCAGAGUAGCAAUGCUACACUUCUAACUCGGCGGUGGCGAUCAGGCGUGCCGCGAAUCAAACAACAACCUUUGUCGGCCGGAGAGACGAUCCCCGCCUGAUCGUCAGAUAUGCAUCAACGCAGCCAUGACAGAUCCAAUCUCCAAAUCGCGUAAAAGACAAAAAACCUGUUUCCGUUGUAUUUUCUGCUUUGGUCUGUUGUGCCGCCUAGAGUUCAAUAGAUCUAUCAAGGUAAGUAAUCGUGUGCAUCGAUGCUGUCAUUAAGUUUCCCUUUUUU